This 532-nucleotide ribosomal RNA is filed under the name uncultured fungus. RNAcentral describes it as "SSU rRNA". It matches the Rfam family "Eukaryotic small subunit ribosomal RNA", at positions 109 to 644 of the family's 1831-position model. Lineage: Eukaryota; Fungi. The record is from RNAcentral.
GCUAUCGUUUAUUUGAUAGUACCUUACUACUUGGAUAACCGUGGUAAUUCUAGAGCUAAUACAUGCUAAAAACCCCAACUUCGGGAGGGGUGUAUUUAUUAGAUAAAAAACCAACGCCCUUCGGGGCUUCUUGGUGAUUCAUGAUAACUUUACGGAUCGCAUGGCCUUGCGCCGGCGACGGUUCAUUCAAAUUUCUGCCCUAUCAACUUUCGAUGGUAAGGUAUUGGCUUACCAUGGUUUCAACGGGUAACGGGGAAUUAGGGUUCGAUUCCGGAGAGGGAGCCUGAGAAACGGCUACCACAUCCAAGGAAGGCAGCAGGCGCGCAAAUUACCCAAUCCCGACACGGGGAGGUAGUGACAAUAAAUACUGAUACAGGGCUCUUUUGGGUCUUGUAAUUGGAAUGAGUACAAUUUAAACCUCUUAACGAGGAACAAUUGGAGGGCAAGUCUGGUGCCAGCAGCCGCGGUAAUUCCAGCUCCAAUAGCGUAUAUUAAAGUUGUUGCAGUUAAAAAGCUCGUAGUUGAAACUUGG